AGUUUUAAGUGAAGAGUUUGAUCCUGGCUCAGAGUGAACGCUGGCGGUAGGCCUAACACAUGCAAGUCGAACGGCAGCACAGGAGAG
Molecule: ribosomal RNA, 87 nt
Filed under: Salmonella sp. 3DZ2-4SM
Lineage: Bacteria; Pseudomonadati; Pseudomonadota; Gammaproteobacteria; Enterobacterales; Enterobacteriaceae
Description: partial 16S ribosomal RNA
Rfam family: Bacterial small subunit ribosomal RNA
Source: RNAcentral